This 497-nucleotide ribosomal RNA is filed under the name uncultured bacterium. RNAcentral's name for it is "partial 16S ribosomal RNA". It matches the Rfam family "Bacterial small subunit ribosomal RNA", at positions 28 to 507 of the family's 1533-position model. The record is from RNAcentral.
GAUGAACGCUGGCGGCGUGCCUAAUACAUGCAAGUCGAGCGAACGGACGAGAAGCUUGCUUCUCUGAUGUUAGCGGCGGACGGGUGAGUAACACGUGGAUAACCUACCUAUAAGACUGGGAUAACUUCGGGAAACCGGAGCUAAUACCGGAUAAUAUUUUGAACCGCAUGGUUCAAAAGUGAAAGACGGUCUUGCUGUCACUUAUAGAUGGAUCCGCGCUGCAUUAGCUAGUUGGUAAGGUAACGGCUUACCAAGGCAACGAUGCAUAGCCGACCUGAGAGGGUGAUCGGCCACACUGGAACUGAGACAAGGUCCAGACUCCUACGGGAGGCAGCAGUAGGGAAUCUUCCGCAAUGGGCGAAAGCCUGACGGAGCAACGCCGCGUGAGUGAUGAAGGUCUUCGGAUCGUAAAACUCUGUUAUUAGGGAAGAACAUAUGUGUAAGUAACUGUGCACAUCUUGACGGUACCUAAUCAGAAAGCCACGGCUAAAUACGUG